RNAcentral lists this ribosomal RNA (337 nucleotides) under uncultured bacterium. Its description in RNAcentral is "bacterial SSU rRNA". It matches the Rfam family "Bacterial small subunit ribosomal RNA", at positions 153 to 507 of the family's 1533-position model. The record is from RNAcentral.
GACAACGCUGGCGGCGUGCCUAACACAUAGAGAUCGCAUGGUUUUUAUGUCAAAGAUUUAUCGCUGAAAGAUGGCCUCGCGUCUGAUUAGCUAGUUGGUGAGGUAACGGCCCACCAAGGCGACGAUCAGUAGCCGGACUGAGAGGUUGACCGGCCACAUUGGGACUGAGAUACGGCCCAGACUCCUACGGGAGGCAGCAGUGGGGAAUAUUGGGCAAUGGGCGCAAGCCUGACCCAGCAACGCCGCGUGAAGGAAGAAGGCUUUCGGGUUGUAAACUUCUUUUGUCGGGGACGAGUAGAAGACGGUACCUGGCGAAUAAGCCACGGCUAACUACGUG